AUCGUGAUAUGGAAGGUUAUUUUUUGUUAAUGAUAGCAUUGUCAUUGUCAAGGGAUUAAAUUCCACAGUGAAUGAACAUGGUUUAGUUCAAGUAAUGGAUAUAGAACAAUUGGAUUGUAUUGCAUUUCAAAUUCAGGAUAAAAGUUUUUUAAAAGGAUGCAGGUAGGGUUAUUAUGGUAUAUUUACACGAUAUAAAAUGGUAUUAAUAUAUUAAACAUCAUAAACAGGACAACCAUAUUAUUAUGGCAUAUAAACAUGAUAAAUAUGAUAUACAAUGAAUAUCUUGGACUAUUAUCAGUGGCGGAUCCAGGGGGGGUUCCGGGGGUGCGCACCCCCCCUUUAUUUUUGCCGAUCAAUGCAUUUGUAUCGGGACAUAUGUUUUGCACCCCCCUUUGAUUACCCUGGAUGCAAAUGGGUUAUAUUGGCACCCCCUUUCGAUUAAUUCCUGCAUCCGCCCCUGAUUAUACUAACUACAUGUAUAUCAUGUAUAUCAUAAUAGAAAAAGUAUCAAAUAUUGGAAUAAUAAAACACAAAAUGAAUCAAAUAGUUUGAAUUAGAUUGUUUUGAAUUUCCUGGAGUUUCUUUUUAAUAAUAAAAACAAGUCAGGCCUUACUUUAAAAAAAAGAUUUAAUUUGUCAUUUAGUCAGAGAGAUAGCUUUGAAUAGGAUAAAAAAUAAUUGAAUUAAGUCAACGAAUUGCAUGCUGGGUAAAAAUAUUUUUGUACAGGAUUGUAUUAAUAUGUUUGUUUUGUUUUAAAAGCCAGAUAUAUGAUUAUAUACUGUUUGUUUUCUCACAGACAAUGGCAGAAGAUCUUUGUGGCUUUAAAAACCUAGCAUCAACUAGUUACUGGUAACAUGCAUGGUAACGGAAAAGCAAAACCUGUAAAAAGAAGACUGAUUUAUUUGUACUUUAUAAAACAACUUUUAUUAUACAUUGUAUUUAUGUGUGACCACAUUGCUAUAUUUUUAUAACCCUUCGUGGCAAAAGGGGCAUUAAAUUUUACACUUGUCCGUCUGACGUCUGUACAUUUCUUUAAACUUGAGUUUGCUUCAACCAAAUGUUAUGAAACUUAUACACAACUCUUUCUACCAAAAACAUGUUUAUGGAUAUUUCCGUUUAUUUUUCAGCAUGUCUUAGGAGUUAUUCGAAGAUAAUCAAUAUUUUGAACAAGUGGACAACAGAUAGUAUUAGAUGAAAUUUUGACCAAUCACCUACAACGAUUGAUAUAUGCAAGGACAAAGAGCAUGGCAUUGAGUAGAAACGAUCUGAUAGGUAUUCUUGUGGUUCCAGCAACGCUUGCACUGCUUUUCGUGUUUUUAGCUGUCUACUUCUUCAUAAAACACUGGCUUAUCAAAAUUAUGAUGUGUUUUUGGCGCAGAGGAAUGUGUUUAUCGUGUCAAAUGAAUAGUUGUGAAAAAUUAAUGGAAGAAGAAAAUGAAAUAUAUGUGACAGACACAGAAUUUCUUCACCCAGAAAAGUCAGUGCCACAUACAUUGUCUGUAGAGUUGACAGUGUCAGGAUCUCCAUGUAGUGGACGUGAUCGGAGUAAUAAUGUGUAGUAUGAAAAAAAAAUGGCAGCAAACAUCAAAGCUCUAUCGAAAUCAUUCCUUUGUUUAUUCCUAGUUGCCAUAGAAGAGGUGGUUUAAAACAAUUUCAAUAAGAUUUAUGAAUUGAAUAGAUAAC
This 1683-nucleotide long non-coding RNA is filed under the name Mytilus galloprovincialis (Mediterranean mussel). Lineage: Eukaryota; Metazoa; Mollusca; Bivalvia; Mytilida; Mytilidae. The record is from RNAcentral.